UACAGAGGUCUCAAGCGUUGUUCGGAUUCAUUGGGCGUAAAGGGUGCGUAGGCGGCGCGGUAAGUCGGGUGUGAAAUCUCGGAGCUUAACUCCGAAACUGCAUUCGAUACUGCCGUGCUUGAGGACUGGAGUGGAGACUGGAAUUUACGGUGUAGCGGUGAAAUGCGUAGAUAUCGUAAGGAAGACCAGUGGCGAAGGCGGGUCUCUGGACAGUACCUGACGCUGAGGCGCGAAGGUCAGGGGAGCAAACGGG
RNAcentral lists this ribosomal RNA (253 nucleotides) under uncultured bacterium. RNAcentral describes it as "partial 16S ribosomal RNA". It matches the Rfam family "Bacterial small subunit ribosomal RNA", at positions 524 to 776 of the family's 1533-position model. The record is from RNAcentral.